UGUAAUUAAAAAAUUAUUUUCAAUAUUUUUUAUUUAAUACUUAUGCAUUUUUUAUUAUUUCAGUAUUUUUAAUUUAAUUUUAAACAUCAUUUACUAUUUUUAUAAAUUCAAAACGGGAAAGGUAGCUAUUUCAAUUAUAGGCCAUUUUACUUUCAGUUAUAGUCUAAUUUCGACCCCAAUCUAACCCCCCAAUUAGCACGACCCAAUUUCGUUCCUAUCCGACCUAAUCAAACUACCCCGUCCGGAUCACGUUUUAAAUCGUGGCCAUCGAUUGUUUUAAUCAACAGUCCACGAUUGCCCUUUCCUUUUUUAAACUAAAAUCCCCUAACCCUAAUCAUUUUACACCAAAUAGUCGGCCUUUUAUCCCUUUUGUCUCUCGAAUUCUCUUAACUCCUCUCUGAAACCCUAGCCCUCUCCGCUGGUCUCCGACCUUAUUUCACCGGAAAUCAUGGCCUCUCAGGCCCUGUGUAACCUAUAUCUACCCACACUCACCCUUAUCCUCCUCUUGCAUGAGGAUUCAAUGUCCGACCUUGGAGACCCCGGCUAAGAAGCUCUCCGAUUCAAGUUCUAUGGCCCUUUCUGGCUCAUCUCUGGCGAGUCCUAGCCCUGUGAGUCUAUCUCCGACUCAGGACCAGUCCGUUCCAGGCUUUUCUCACUCUCUAGGGUUUUUCUCUGAAACACUAAGCCCUCGAGGUUUUCCUUGUUUCUCUCUAAGAUCUACUUCAGUUCCGUGCUAUUUUCUAAGAUUUUAAAAUAUUUUCCACAUCUUUUUGAUUUUUUGUUUCCAAAACUGUUUAUCUUCUUAAAACUUAAGGUUUCUGUAAUUUUUUUACUAGUUCUAUUGCUAUCUCUUAUAUUUUUUACUUUGCUAAGUGUUUUUACUAUGAUUCCUAGACAUUUUCUUUACUAUAUUUUCUUUUAGGGUUUUCGAGUAAAUUCUUUACUGUUUCUUCUUUCAUUAUGCUUCCAUAAAUAUUUGUGUUCUUUUGACUUUCUGAUUUUAUUCUUCGCCUGAUUCUCUAUGCUUUCUUCUGUGAGGAAGAAACCCUAGAUUUUUGGGGGUUUUCAGACUACUUGUGUGCGAAUAUUUUUUGUUUCAUGUUUAAUUUCAAAUCCCUAAUUCUCUAAAACUCGUCUCAUAUUUCUGAUUCUUGCUAAGCUUUGCAAGACCUCUUGAUUUCUCAUAUCUAUGUUCUUUUACUUUGCAUGACUGCUCUGCUUACUUUUAACCUUGCAUGUUUAAGUUUAUGCUCCCUUUUUCUAGUCAAAUAUUUUUCUCUCUGAACAACUCUAAUUUUUGGGAUUGUUUUCUAUGAACUUACUUGAUUCUCUCCUUGUCUGAUUUGGACCUAUAUUCUGUCUUAAUGCAUUAUUGAGUUUGAAUUCCUGAUUCCUUGAUUUAUUUACGUGAUUAAUUGAUUUUAAUCUUGCCUCAUUUACCUAAACCGAAUAUCUUUAAAUUUUCUCUCAUGAAUUUACCCUUUAUUUCACAUCAGUGUUCUUGAUUUUCUUUCCUUAAAUAAACUCUGCCCUUUUAUUACUGUAGUCCGACUCCUUAAUUAAAGGAAUUCCCUUCUCCUGAUUGAUUCUGAUUUGAUGCUGAAUUAUUUUUACCUUACUUACUACCCGUUUUUAAAUUAUAAAUACCCCACUCCUUUUCUUCAAACUCACGAACAAUUAGAGUUCAAUACAUACACACACUCAAAGCUUUCCUCUCUUUUCUGCUACUUGUGUUACUGUUAUGUCUAGCCGGCUGAAAGCCAAGGCUAUACUUUGGGAAUCUCCUACUUUCCUGCUUGUGCUUGCGGAAUUCUCUGGCUGUUCUCUUGCUUUGUUUGUUCUACUGUUUGCAAAUUGCCACUGGUAUGUCUAUGAUUUAAAUACCAUGUUCUCUAAAACUGUGUGUUUAUUUCUCCUUUCUACAUGAUCUCUCAAUUACAUGUUUUUCUGGUAGUAUGUGACCAUACAUUAGCUUGUUAUACCUUUCUGCAUGCUUCUGCUGUUAUGCUUUCUUAUCUCUCCUUGAGGUUUGCUUUUAUGUGGUCCCCCUCCCAUUUGAUCCCCCUUGUGUGUGAGUAUGUCCAAAGUUGAGGUAGCAUCUUAUGCUAUCCUUGGCUUAGGAUCAUGUUCUUUUGAACCUCUACUCAAAUCAAUCUCAUUCCCUUAACCCCUUUUAUGUGUUGAGCCUUGAUUAGGGUCUGGUACUGUCCUAAGCACCACUCAGACCCCUAUUUGACUUUUGAAAAUCUGUUUUUUUAUUUGUUUGAAUCAAGUAAAGGAUUAGGGGUAUGCCUGUCCCAAUCAUGACUGGGUAUGACCAUCCUUUGCUCUGGUCUCAUCUAAUCCCCUCACUUUACACUUAUUCUUAGUUCUUUAAGUCCUACCCCUUAUGGUAAGCCAUGCUUAGGGACCCUAGAGUUCCCUCUGAACUUGGAUGCCUAAGGGAUGAUAAUUCCACACAUUACACUACUCAAUUCAAUAUUUAGGGUGUAAGCAUUGCCUGAGCUUCCUGAAAGCCCUUGGAACUUUGAAAUACUCUAAGAAAAGGCCUUGGAAUCUGGAGCCCGGAUUUGGUAAAAUACAUGUGUUGGACAUUAAGGUUGCUUUGGGCUUCCUCGGGUCUGUUUUUAGUUUUGAUGUAUUUAUUU
This 2648-nucleotide long non-coding RNA is filed under the name Nicotiana benthamiana. RNAcentral describes it as "long non-coding RNA (NBEN_LNC009940)". The record is from RNAcentral. Lineage: Eukaryota; Viridiplantae; Streptophyta; Magnoliopsida; Solanales; Solanaceae.